UACAGAGGGGGCGAGCGUUAUUCGGAAUUAUUGGGCGUAAAGAGCGUGUAGGCGGCCAGGUAGGUCGGUUGUGAAAACUGGAGGCUCAACCUUCAGAGGUCGACCGAAACCAUCUGGCUAGAGUCCGGGAGAGGAGAGUGGAAUUCCUGGUGUAGCGGUGAAAUGCGCAGAUAUCAGGAAGAACACCCGUGGCGAAAGCGGCUCUCUGGAACGGUACUGACGCUGAGACGCGAAAGCGUGGGGAGCGAACAGG
This 253-nucleotide ribosomal RNA is filed under the name uncultured bacterium. RNAcentral's name for it is "partial 16S ribosomal RNA". It matches the Rfam family "Bacterial small subunit ribosomal RNA", at positions 524 to 776 of the family's 1533-position model. The record is from RNAcentral.